GGAAUUUUCAGCAACGGGCAGGAAGGGCUUAAGAAGAGUGGAAAGAAAUGAUGUGCGAUCUCCCAGUGCUCCCCAAAUAUCCCUCACGUUAGUUUGGAAUAAGUAUCAUGCCCACAGAUAAUGACAUGUAUUCUUUCAUUUCAUUCCUAGAUGACAGAAUACAUGUCACCCCACUGAAUGGGAAGACAUUAUUCAUGGACGAAACCACUCAGUCUCCUACUCUGUGCAAGACCCUGGCCUCACCACUGGGAAAGAAACAAAUUUGAACAAUAAAUUUAUGGGUCCUGCUUUUAGAGAACUUCUGGACUAGCCACAAUGAUA
RNAcentral lists this long non-coding RNA (321 nucleotides) under Mustela putorius furo (domestic ferret). RNAcentral describes it as "lncRNA (ENSMPUG00000030036.1)". Lineage: Eukaryota; Metazoa; Chordata; Mammalia; Carnivora; Mustelidae. The record is from RNAcentral.